This 74-nucleotide transfer RNA is filed under the name Actinomycetota bacterium. RNAcentral's name for it is "tRNA-Pro". It matches the Rfam family "tRNA". Rfam says of the family: Transfer RNA (tRNA) molecules are approximately 80 nucleotides in length. The record is from RNAcentral. Lineage: Bacteria; Bacillati; Actinomycetota.
CGGGCUGUGGCGCAGUCUGGCAGCGCGCUCCGUUCGGGUCGGAGAGGUCCCCAGUUCGAAUCUGGGCAGCCCGA